GUGCUCACUUUGGCAGAACAUAUACUAAAAUUGGAACAAUACAGAGAAAAUUAGCAUGGCCCUGUGUAAGAAUGACAUGCAAAUUCAUGAAAUGUUCUAUAUUAAA
Molecule: small nuclear RNA, 106 nt
Organism: Otolemur garnettii (small-eared galago)
Lineage: Eukaryota; Metazoa; Chordata; Mammalia; Primates; Galagidae
Source: Ensembl